RNAcentral lists this long non-coding RNA (701 nucleotides) under Olea europaea (common olive). RNAcentral describes it as "long non-coding RNA (OEUR_LNC008988)". The record is from RNAcentral. Lineage: Eukaryota; Viridiplantae; Streptophyta; Magnoliopsida; Lamiales; Oleaceae.
UUGACACCCAAUGCUAGAAGUGAUGAAAGAAUCCUGCAGCUCUUCCGUAUGAUGAACCGAAUGUUUGAUAAGCACAAUGAAUCAAGGCGCCGCCACAUCUACAUUCACACACCAAUCAUCAUACCAGUUUGGUCUCAGGUAAUAAAAUUAGGCCUGUGAUAAUUGCGGUUCUACUUUUACUUCUUGAAUAAUUUUGUUAUUGUUCUCCAUUACUCUUUUAGUAUUUUAUUGUUCAAUACAAAUUGAGAUAUGUUCUUGGUUUGUGUGCGUGCAUCAUAAUGUGCUUAUAGAAGCCUUCUGCAUAAACAUAGCUCAAGAAAUAUAUUUUUCUGAUGUGUGGUGAUGAUGGCUUAAUGUGUGCUUUGCUUUUUUACUGCCUAAUAAAUCAUCAAAACUCCUAAAGGCACUUGUACAUCCAUUUCUGACUUGGAAUCAAGUUAGAAUCAUCUUUUUUCAUUGCUAUAAUUCUUAUGUAGGUGCGAAUGGUUGAAGAUGAUCUGAUGUACGGCACCUUCCUUGAGGUAUAUGAGAACCAUUGUGCUAGAAAUGACCGAGAGGCAGACUUACCGAUAACGUAUUUCAAAGAGCAACUGAACCAAGCUAUAAGCGGUCAGAUAUCACCAGAAGCUGUGGUAGAUCUUCGCCUUCAAGCAUACAAUGAGAUAACCAAGGGUAUUGUGACAGACAACAUAUUCUCCCAG